RNAcentral lists this ribosomal RNA (388 nucleotides) under uncultured bacterium. RNAcentral describes it as "bacterial SSU rRNA". It matches the Rfam family "Bacterial small subunit ribosomal RNA", at positions 28 to 417 of the family's 1533-position model. The record is from RNAcentral.
GACGAACGCUGGCGGCGUGCUUAACACAUGCAAGUCGAGCGGUAAGGCCCUUUCGGGGGUACACGAGCGGCGAACGGGUGAGUAACACGUGGGUGACCUGCCCUCAGCUCUGGGAUAAGCCUGGGAAACCGGGUCUAAUACUGGAUAUGACUCCAUGACGCAUGUUGUGGGGUGGAAAGCCUUGUGCGGCUGAGGAUGGGCCCGCGGCCUAUCAGCUUGUUGGUGGGGUGAUGGCCUACCGAGGCGACGACGGGUAGCCGGCCUGAGAGGGCGACCGGCCACACUGGGACUGAGACACGGCCCAGACUCCUACGGGAGGCAGCAGUGGGGAAUCUUGCGCAAUGGGCGAAAGCCUGACGCAGCGACGCCGCGUGAGGGAUGACGGCCU